AUUGAACGCUGGCGGCAGGCCUAACACAUGCAAGUCGAGCGCGCGGCGGACGGGUGAGUAAUGUCUGGGAAACAGCCCGAUGGAGGGGGAUAACGACUGGAAACGGUAGCUAAUACCGCAUACCAUCAGAUGUGCCCAGAUGGGAUUAGAUAGAAGUUGGGGUAAUGGCCCACCUAGGCGCCGAUCCCUAGAUGGUCUGAGAGGAUGACCAGCCACACUGGAACUGAGACACUGUCCUGACUCCUACGGGAGGCAGCAGUGGGGAAUAUUGUACAAUGGGCGCAAGCCUGAUGCAGCCAUGCCGCGUGUGUGAAGAAGGCCUUCGGGUUGUAAAGCACUUGCAGCGGGGAGGCGUUACCCGCAGAAGAAGCACCGGCUAACUCCGUGCCAGCAGCCGCGGUAAUAC
RNAcentral lists this ribosomal RNA (406 nucleotides) under uncultured bacterium. RNAcentral's name for it is "partial 16S ribosomal RNA". It matches the Rfam family "Bacterial small subunit ribosomal RNA", at positions 30 to 526 of the family's 1533-position model. The record is from RNAcentral.